RNAcentral lists this ribosomal RNA (1342 nucleotides) under Mycoplasmopsis arginini. RNAcentral's name for it is "Mycoplasma arginini partial 16S ribosomal RNA". It matches the Rfam family "Bacterial small subunit ribosomal RNA", at positions 68 to 1418 of the family's 1533-position model. Lineage: Bacteria; Bacillati; Mycoplasmatota; Mycoplasmoidales; Metamycoplasmataceae. The record is from RNAcentral.
GAGGUUCUUUUGAACCUAGCGGCGAAUGGGUGAGUAACACGUGCUUAAUCUACCCUUUAGAUUGGAAUACCCAAUGGAAACAUUGGCUAAUGCCGGAUACGCAUGGAAUCGCAUGAUUCCGUUGUGAAAGGAGCCUUUAAAGCUCCGCUAGAGGAUGAGGGUGCGGAACAUUAGUUAGUUGGUAGGGUAAUGGCCUACCAAGACUAUGAUGUUUAGCCGGGUCGAGAGACUGAACGGCCACAUUGGGACUGAGAUACGGCCCAAACUCCUACGGGAGGCAGCAGUAGGGAAUAUUCCACAAUGAGCGAAAGCUUGAUGGAGCGACACAGCGUGCACGAUGAAGGUCUUCGGAUUGUAAAGUGCUGUUAUAGGGAAAGAACACCUGGUUGAGGAAAUGCUUCCAGGCUGACGGUACCCUGUCAGAAAGCGAUGGCUAACUAUGUGCCAGCAGCCGCGGUAAUACAUAGGUCGCAAGCGUUAUCCGGAAUUAUUGGGCGUAAAGCGUUCGUAGGCUGUUUAUUAAGUCUGGAGUCAAAUCCCAGGGCUCAACCCUGGCUCGCUUUGGAUACUGGUAAACUAGAGUUAGAUAGAGGUAAGCGGAAUUCCAUGUGAAGCGGUGAAAUGCGUAGAUAUAUGGAAGAACACCAAAGGCGAAGGCAGCUUACUGGGUCUAUACUGACGCUGAGGGACGAAAGCGUGGGGAGCAAACAGGAUUAGAUACCCUGGUAGUCCACGCCGUAAACGAUGAUCAUUAGUCGGUGGAGAGUUCACUGACGCAGCUAACGCAUUAAAUGAUCCGCCUGAGUAGUAUGCUCGCAAGAGUGAAACUUAAAGGAAUUGACGGGGACCCGCACAAGCGGUGGAGCAUGUGGUUUAAUUUGAAGAUACGCGGAGAACCUUACCCACUCUUGACAUCCUUCGCAAUGCUAUAGAGAUAUAGCGGAGGUUAACGGAGUGACAGAUGGUGCAUGGUUGUCGUCAGCUCGUGUCGUGAGAUGUUUGGUCAAGUCCUGCAACGAGCGCAACCCCUAUCUUUAGUUACUAACGAGUCAUGUCGAGGACUCUAGAGAUACUGCCUGGGUAACUGGGAGGAAGGUGGGGAUGACGUCAAAUCAUCAUGCCUCUUACGAGUGGGGCAACACACGUGCUACAAUGGUCGGUACAAAGAGAAGCAAUAUGGCGACAUGGAGCAAAUCUCAAAAAGCCGAUCUCAGUUCGGAUUGGAGUCUGCAAUUCGACUCCAUGAAGUCGGAAUCGCUAGUAAUCGCAGAUCAGCUACGCUGCGGUGAAUACGUUCUCGGGUCUUGUACACACCGCCCGUCACACCAUGGGAGCUGGUAAU